CGCCCUUACGGGAGGACAGCAGCAAGGUAUUUUCCCCAAUGGGCGGAAGCCCCCCCCGUGAGUCAACGUCGCGUGGUGGACGACGGUCUUCGGGUUGUAAACUCCUUUCGGUUUGGUACGACCACGACGGUACCACCAUAAGCAGUCCCUUCUAACUCUGUGCCAGCAGCCGCGGUAAGACAGAGUUGGCAAGCUUUGUCCGGAGUUACUUGGCGCUAAAGGGCGCGGAGGCGGCCCCGCGGCGCUCGGCGCCGAAAAGGCCCGCUCCACGGGGUGAGGCGUGCUGACAUGUGUAGUUUCUGAGGUUAAUAGAAUUUUCGUUGGAUCCCCUUUUCGCAGUUCCGAAAUACCGCAGCAGAUCUGGAGUAACGCUAAUCUGUUAAGCUCUCUUAGUUCCGGUUCUUGAUUCCAUGUUCGUGUAUUGAUAUUUCUGGAGAGUAAAAUAGGAUUCAGCAUGCAUUUCCCCUGCAUACAAGUGCCUAAUCUCCUGUGUCAAAAAAUAUGCCCGCCCGUGAA
Molecule: ribosomal RNA, 516 nt
Filed under: uncultured bacterium
Lineage: Bacteria
Description: bacterial SSU rRNA
Rfam family: Bacterial small subunit ribosomal RNA
Source: RNAcentral